Non-coding RNA from Microcebus murinus (gray mouse lemur), 440 nucleotides. Lineage: Eukaryota; Metazoa; Chordata; Mammalia; Primates; Cheirogaleidae. The record is from RefSeq and is a predicted model, not a curated record.
AUACUACCUUGGGUCUUCAGAGUUUUUUCAGAUUAAAUGAUAACAUAUUCUUGGCACUCAGAACACAAAAAUGAGUAACAGCCUCUGUUUUUAGGCAGCUUUCAUUCUAACAUAUGUGAUGAACAUCAAGAUAAACAAGAUGAAAAGAAAAAAGAAACGGAAAUUAAGAGAAUUUUGCAGACCAAAAGGACUAUGACUGUAGCUGAACAGAUACUACAGCACAGGAAAAAAAGAAGGGACAAGCUUGAAAUAAAAUACAUUAUGAAAACAAGGCUGCUUCCAAGGCACCCUCCCCUUUCUACCCUAUGUCUUCUGGCUGUACCUCCUCAGGACCUCAUGGAGUUGGUGUUCUCAAGAUAACCGAAGCAGGGUCAUUUUGAAGUUGAAUGUACAUGAAAACUGCUAAGCAAAUGCCUCUAAAAAUGUUAAUGCUUUGUCCA